GGAGAGGUGGCCGAGUAUGGCUUAAGGCGUACGCCUGCUAAGCGUAUGAGAUUAACGUCUCCGAGGGUUCAAAUCCCUCCCUCUCCGCCA
RNAcentral lists this transfer RNA (90 nucleotides) under Candidatus Fermentibacterota bacterium. RNAcentral describes it as "tRNA-Ser". It matches the Rfam family "tRNA". Rfam says of the family: Transfer RNA (tRNA) molecules are approximately 80 nucleotides in length. Their secondary structure includes four short double-helical elements and three loops (D, anti-codon, and T loops). RNAcentral also lists the same sequence under 1 other name. The record is from RNAcentral. Lineage: Bacteria; Pseudomonadati; Candidatus Fermentibacterota.